AUGCCUUCUCUCUCGCAAAUGAUGAUGAUGAUGAUGAUGAUUCUCUUUCUCUGUUAGGUGGCCAUACGCAAAGCGGCGCAAGGCUUUUAAGGAAGUUGGGGAAGUGAAGCUUCAACAGCUAUUUGGAUUUGGUCGGAACCUAACAGAAUUUUGGAGUUUUAUCAUUACAAGUUGGAAGAAAAAUCCAAAGUUUGGGGUGCUGCGUCUUUCUCACUUAAUGGAUUAACUUAGCUCGUAAAUGUUCCAUUUAAAAUUAUGAGUGUUUGAAUUGUAUUAGUAUAGUCCUUCUUUUUCAACUUUGUUGAUGGAGUGAUAUGCACGUAAUCACUAAUCGCCUAUGAGUAUUGAAGAAUGGGUUGUUUUAAGCAUAAGGGUCAUCUCUUCUUACAAAAUGAA
This is a long non-coding RNA of Cucurbita moschata (crookneck pumpkin), 396 nucleotides long. RefSeq lists it as uncharacterized. The record is from RefSeq and is a predicted model, not a curated record. Lineage: Eukaryota; Viridiplantae; Streptophyta; Magnoliopsida; Cucurbitales; Cucurbitaceae. The transcript is spliced from 2 exons.